UGCGGCCAUGGGCUAGCUCAUGGCCACGCCUGUCCGAGGGUCGGCUUAUAAACUAUCACGACGCCCAAAAAGUCGUGGCUUGGGUCUUGCCAGCUGACGUGAUUUCCCUAUUUGUGCAAACGAACGGGGUGUCAGAUCUAUGGCGUUUCCCUAAUAAUUCCAGUUACAACUCCUUUUGGCUGAAGGCCAUAUUGGAGGGUGAUUGUGGAGUCGUGGCUCAAUGGUAAUGUUUGUGCGCGCUCUGCAUGUUCACCGCUGUAUCUGUCUAAUGUGAAAUGCUUUUCGCAUUUUACCUGACCUCGGAUCAGACGUGAAUACCCGCUGAACUUAAGCAUAUCACUAAGCGGAGGAAAAGAAACUAACAAGGAUUCCCUCAGUAACGGCGAGUGAACAGGGAAAAGCCCAGCACCGAAGCCUGUGGCCAUUUGGUCAUUAGGCAAUGUGGUGUUUAGGUCGUUCCGCAGAGGUUCUGCUCCACCCUAAGUCCAUCAAUGAGUACGGUAGUAUGGA
Molecule: ribosomal RNA, 510 nt
Filed under: Alloglossidium geminum
Lineage: Eukaryota; Metazoa; Platyhelminthes; Trematoda; Plagiorchiida; Alloglossidiidae
Description: eukaryotic LSU rRNA
Rfam family: Eukaryotic large subunit ribosomal RNA (bases 295-510)
Source: RNAcentral